AUGGCUCGUACAAAGUCGACUGCCUGCAAAUCCACCGGCAGAUCCACCGGUGGUAAAGCACCCAGGAAGUAACUGGCUACAAAAGCCGCUCGCAAGAGUGCGCCCACUACUGGAGGGGUGAAGAAACCUCAUCGCUACAGGCCUGGUACUGUGGCACUCCGUGAAGUUAUGAUUCCCAAACUUCCCUUCCAGCGUCUGGUGCGAGAAAUUGCUCAGGACUUUUAAAACAGAUCUGCGCUUCCAGAGAGCAGCUAUAGGAGCUUUACAGGAGGCAAAUGAGGCCUAUCUGGUUGGCCUUUUUGAAGACACCAACCUGUGUGCUAUCCAUGCCAAACUCAUGUCUGGACGUGGUAAGGGUGGGAAAGGCUUAGGUAAAGGAGGCGCUAAGCGUCACCGCAAGGUUUUACGCGACAAUAUCCAGGGCAUCACUAAGCCAGCCAUCCGACGCCUUGCUCGUCGCGGCGGUGUCAAGCGUAUUUCUGGUCUUAUCUAUGAGGAGACUCGCGGUGUUCUGAAGGUGUUUCUGGAGAACGUGAUUCGUGAUGCAGUCACCUACACGGAGCACGCCAAACGCAAGACCGUAACAGCAAUGGAUGUGGUCUAUGCGCUGAAGCGACAGGGACGCACUCUUUACGGCUUUGGUGGCUAAGGCUCCCGCUUACUCCACUCAGUAUUUCUCUUUUCAACCAAAGGCCCUUUUUAGGGCCGCCCACUUUUUUCGUAAAAGAGCGGACAUCUUGUUAUCCUGUUCUGUUCCAGGUUUUUGCUGAAAAGCAGUCGUGCACUAGUGUACAUUUAGCAGUUCUGUGGCUCCUGAUGGAUCUGAGAAGAUGGACGUGGAGGAUGAAAAUCUGAUGUUUGUUGCUAUGGAGAUGCUGCCCAUAUGUUCAUGUUGUGGAUGUUAAGUCAGUAGCCCACAGCCUUGUAUUCCAUACUCAGGAGACCCUGCUACUUGACAUCUCAACUUGGAAGUCCAAUAAAUAUGCACUUCAAACUUAAA
Piliocolobus tephrosceles (Ugandan red Colobus) is the source of this 1000-nucleotide RNA transcript. It is a transcript of the gene named histone H3.3C-like, with no coding region annotated. The record is from RefSeq and is a predicted model, not a curated record. NCBI's taxonomy places the organism in Eukaryota, Metazoa, Chordata, Mammalia, Primates, Cercopithecidae. The transcript has 3 exons.